This 252-nucleotide ribosomal RNA is filed under the name uncultured bacterium. Its description in RNAcentral is "partial 16S ribosomal RNA". It matches the Rfam family "Bacterial small subunit ribosomal RNA", at positions 524 to 776 of the family's 1533-position model. The record is from RNAcentral.
UACGUAGGGUGCGAGCGUUGCCCGGAUUUAUUGGGCGUAAAGGGCGCGUAGGCGGCUCGGCACGUCCGUUGUGAAAUCGCCCGGCUCAACUGGGCGGGUCGGCGGAUACGGCCGAGCUGGAGCAAGCUAGGGGGUAAUGGAAUUCCCGGUGUAGUGGUGGAAUGCGUAGAUAUCGGGAGGAACACCAGUGGCGAAGGCGGUUACCUGGAGCUUUGCUGACGCUGAUGCGCGAAAGCGUGGGAGCGAGUCCGG